Molecule: ribosomal RNA, 303 nt
Filed under: uncultured bacterium
Lineage: Bacteria
Description: partial 16S ribosomal RNA
Rfam family: Bacterial small subunit ribosomal RNA
Source: RNAcentral
AGCAGUCGCCACGGGAACACGUAGGUGGCAAGCGUUGUCCGGAAUUAUUGGGCGUAAAGCGCGCGCAGGUGGUUUAAUAAGUCUGAUGUGAAAGCCCACGGCUCAACCGUGGAGGGUCAUUGGAAACUGUUAAACUUGAGUGCAGGAGAGAAAGGUGGAAUUCCUAGUGUAGCGGUGAAAUGCGUAGAGAUUAGGAGGAACACCAGUGGCGAAGGCGGCUUUUUGGCCUGUAACUGACACUGAGGCGCGAAAGCGUGGGGAGCAAACAGGAUUAGAUACCCGCGUAGUCCCUGUCUCUUAUAC